UACGUAGGGUGCAAGCGUUGUCCGGAAUUAUUGGGCGUAAAAGAGCUCGUAGGCGGUUUUGUCGCGUCUGCUGUGAAAACUCAGGGCUUAACCCUGAGCCUGCAGUGGGUACGGGCAGACUAGAGUGUGGUAGGGGAGAUCGGAAUUCCUGGUGUAGCGGUGGAAUGCGCAGAUAUCAGGAGGAACACCGGUGGCGAAGGCGGAUCUCUGGGGCCAUAACUGACGCUGAGGAGCGAAAAGCUGGGGAGCGAACAGGG
Molecule: ribosomal RNA, 257 nt
Filed under: uncultured bacterium
Lineage: Bacteria
Description: partial 16S ribosomal RNA
Rfam family: Bacterial small subunit ribosomal RNA
Source: RNAcentral